GCAGUUCUGGCAGUUCAUGGCAAAGCUCUGACUCAUUGAAUGAGCACCAAACGGAGGGAGUGUGUACUAUGGGUUGCACCUGUUAGAGGUGCAGACCACACUCUCCUCCACUGGACCAGGGACCCCAGGGAACCUGCUAGCACUCACUGGAUCACCAGGUAUUAAACUGCCCUACAUGCAUAAAGGUAAGCAGGAUGGGGUUUAACAAUAGACACAGUCAUACUCCCACACACUAUCACAAUCAACCAACUACCCACACAAUCACAUUCAACCACUUCCACACAAUCACAUUCAACCACUUCCACAGUCAGCAAUCCACACAUACAAUCAAACUGACACAUAAGGCGAAGGAGGGCUAAAAUGGGCAGGGAGUAGAGGGGAGGAAUGAAAGAAAGGUUUGAGGGACUUUCA
Molecule: non-coding RNA, 411 nt
Organism: Pelobates cultripes (western spadefoot toad)
Lineage: Eukaryota; Metazoa; Chordata; Amphibia; Anura; Pelobatidae
Source: the annotation of a GenBank genome assembly